GAAGCUGGAAUUGCUAGUAAUGGCAGGUCAGUAUACUGCCGUGAAUACGUUCCCGGGCCUUGUACACACCGCCCGUCACACCAUGAGAGUUGGGAAUACCCGAAGCCUGUGAGCUAACUUAUAGAGGCAGCAGUCGAAGGUAGAAUCAAUGAUUGGGGUGAAGUCGUAACAAGGUAAC
RNAcentral lists this ribosomal RNA (178 nucleotides) under uncultured bacterium. Its description in RNAcentral is "partial 16S ribosomal RNA". It matches the Rfam family "Bacterial small subunit ribosomal RNA", at positions 1322 to 1500 of the family's 1533-position model. The record is from RNAcentral.